RNAcentral lists this non-coding RNA (55 nucleotides) under uncultured Paramuribaculum sp. The record is from RNAcentral. Lineage: Bacteria; Pseudomonadati; Bacteroidota; Bacteroidia; Bacteroidales; Muribaculaceae.
GAAGUGGACAAAUUUGGCUGCUUGCAACCACUUUCAAAAAAAUGCUAAAACUGCA